Molecule: regulatory RNA element, 189 nt
Organism: Eubacterium sp. CAG:274
Lineage: Bacteria; Bacillati; Bacillota; Clostridia; Eubacteriales; Eubacteriaceae
Rfam family: Lysine riboswitch aptamer
About the family: Riboswitches are metabolite binding domains within certain messenger RNAs that serve as precision sensors for their corresponding targets. Allosteric rearrangement of mRNA structure is mediated by ligand binding, and this results in modulation of gene expression.
Source: Rfam
UAAUAAGAUAGAGGUGCGAUGUUUAUUAGUAGAUUUACUGACGGACAGAAACGGUUGAGGUAAGUAGAAAGGAAAUGUUGCCGAAGAAUUGCAUUUUUUCUGUAGAUGUAGUUCUGGUUGCUGUGGCUAAUAGCCCUGUGACUGUCACUAUGUAGGCGAGAUAGCCUUUAGUGGAGCGCUAUCUGUGUU